RNAcentral lists this ribosomal RNA (619 nucleotides) under Leuconostoc citreum. RNAcentral describes it as "bacterial SSU rRNA". It matches the Rfam family "Bacterial small subunit ribosomal RNA", at positions 77 to 681 of the family's 1533-position model. The record is from RNAcentral. Lineage: Bacteria; Bacillati; Bacillota; Bacilli; Lactobacillales; Lactobacillaceae.
UGCUUGCACCUUUCAAGCGAGUGGCGAACGGGUGAGUAACACGUGGAUAACCUGCCUCAAGGCUGGGGAUAACAUUUGGAAACAGAUGCUAAUACCGAAUAAAACUUAGUAUCGCAUGAUAUCAAGUUAAAAGGCGCUACGGCGUCACCUAGAGAUGGAUCCGCGGUGCAUUAGUUAGUUGGUGGGGUAAAGGCUUACCAAGACGAUGAUGCAUAGCCGAGUUGAGAGACUGAUCGGCCACAUUGGGACUGAGACACGGCCCAAACUCCUACGGGAGGCUGCAGUAGGGAAUCUUCCACAAUGGGCGCAAGCCUGAUGGAGCAACGCCGCGUGUGUGAUGAAGGCUUUCGGGUCGUAAAGCACUGUUGUAUGGGAAGAAAUGCUAAAAUAGGGAAUGAUUUUAGUUUGACGGUACCAUACCAGAAAGGGACGGCUAAAUACGUGCCAGCAGCCGCGGUAAUACGUAUGUCCCGAGCGUUAUCCGGAUUUAUUGGGCGUAAAGCGAGCGCAGACGGUUGAUUAAGUCUGAUGUGAAAGCCCGGAGCUCAACUCCGGAAUGGCAUUGGAAACUGGUUAACUUGAGUGUUGUAGAGGUAAGUGGAAAUCCAUGGGUAAGCCG